This 396-nucleotide ribosomal RNA is filed under the name uncultured bacterium. RNAcentral describes it as "partial 16S ribosomal RNA". It matches the Rfam family "Bacterial small subunit ribosomal RNA", at positions 523 to 918 of the family's 1533-position model. The record is from RNAcentral.
AUACAGAGGGUGCGAGCGUUAAUCGGAUUUACUGGGCGUAAAGCGCGCGUAGGUGGCUAAUUAAGUCAAAUGUGAAAUCCCCGAGCUUAACUUGGGAAUUGCAUUCGAUACUGGUUGGCUAGAGUAUGGGAGAGGAUGGUAGAAUUCCAGGUGUAGCGGUGAAAUGCGUAGAGAUCUGGAGGAAUACCGAUGGCGAAGGCAGCCAUCUGGCCUAAUACUGACACUGAGGUGCGAAAGCAUGGGGAGCAAACAGGAUUAGAUACCCUGGUAGUCCAUGCCGUAAACGAUGUCUACCAGCCGUUGGGGGAUUUGAUCCUUUAGUGGCGCAGCUAACGCGAUAAGUAGACCGCCUGGGGAGUACGGUCGCAAGACUAAAACUCAAAUGAAUUGGCGGGG